Molecule: ribosomal RNA, 418 nt
Filed under: uncultured bacterium
Lineage: Bacteria
Description: bacterial SSU rRNA
Rfam family: Bacterial small subunit ribosomal RNA
Source: RNAcentral
UGAGUAACGCGUAUCCAACCUUCCCCCUUAGUAGGGCAUAGACCCGGUGAAAAUCGGAUUAAUACCCUAUGUUCUUCACAGCAGACAUCUAACGUGAAGCAAAGGUUUACCGCUAAGGGAUGGGGAUGCGUCUGAUUAGGUAGUAGGCCGGGGUAACGGCCCACCUAGCCUUCGAUCAGUAGGGGUUCUGAGAGGAAGGUCCCCCCACAUUGGAACUGAGACACGGUCCAAACUCCUACGGGAGGCAGCAGUGAAGGAAUAUUGGUCAAUGGGCGAGAGCCUGAACCAGCCAAGUAGCGUGCAGGAUGACGGCCCUAUGGGUUGUAAACUGCUUUUAUAUGGGGAUAAAGUUCACCACGUGUGGUGUUUUGCAGGUACCAUAUGAAUAAGGACCGGCUAAUUCCGUGCCAGCCGCCGC